UUACGGUGACAUCACCUUGAAACCUCGGUUCCCGUACGAUCACCGAAAUUAAGCAACGUUAAGCCUGGUCAGUACCUAGAUGGGUGACCAUUUGGGAAUACCAGGUGUUGUAAG
Molecule: non-coding RNA, 114 nt
Organism: Acanthosepion pharaonis
Lineage: Eukaryota; Metazoa; Mollusca; Cephalopoda; Sepiida; Sepiidae
Source: the annotation of a GenBank genome assembly